This is a long non-coding RNA of Sander lucioperca (pikeperch), 85 nucleotides long. RefSeq lists it as uncharacterized. The transcript has 3 exons. NCBI's taxonomy places the organism in Eukaryota, Metazoa, Chordata, Actinopteri, Perciformes, Percidae. The record is from RefSeq and is a predicted model, not a curated record.
CACUGGUGGAAUUCAUUGGAAGUAAAAUUAGUAAUACCACACUUUAAUAAUACUCUGUAGCAAGUAAAAGUCCUGCAUUGAAAAU